RNAcentral lists this long non-coding RNA (427 nucleotides) under Phasianus colchicus (ring-necked pheasant). RNAcentral describes it as "lncRNA (ENSPCLG00000007253.1)". Lineage: Eukaryota; Metazoa; Chordata; Aves; Galliformes; Phasianidae. The record is from RNAcentral.
AUGCAGGCUGAGAAACUGAGCUACAGAAGGAUUCAAAGGCAUAGUUUCUCAUGGAUCAUUCUUCACUGCUUAACUCCUGCAGUACCAGUUAAGCAGUGGAGGGAAACAGAAGAAAGAAAUGAGGAAAUUCCUGUAAAUCAAAGAGAGCACAGCAAUUUCCCCAAUGACAGGUUUCUACUGGAGAGCUGAUAGUUAAAAUGGUGAAGCAUCCCAGCAGUCUCCUCUGUAGGCAGGGAUGGGCUAGCACCUCAAGAGCAGCGGUGCUUACAACCUCAGUGUAUCACCACUUACAAAGGCUUAAGUACCAAUGCCACAGGUGCAUCUGGUCAAGGACUGGAAAAAUGGUCUUAUGUUUUAUUGAAAAUGACUAAUUCAGUGUAAAAAUGGGAGGGGGCAGAACUUGAAAUAAAGAUAAACCUAUAAAGCA